AGUGAACGCUGGCGGUAGGCCUAACACAUGCAAGUCGAACGGCAGCACAGUAAGAGCUUGCUCUUACGGGUGGCGAGUGGCGGACGGGUGAGGAAUACAUCGGAAUCUACUUUUUCGUGGGGGAUAACGUAGGGAAACUUACGCUAAUACCGCAUACGACCUACGGGUGAAAGCAGGGGAUCUUCGGACCUUGCGCGAUUGAAUGAGCCGAUGUCGGAUUAGCUAGUUGGCGGGGUAAAGGCCCACCAAGGCGCCGAUCCGUAGCUGGUCUGAGAGGAUGAUCAGCCACACUGGAACUGAGACACGGUCCAGACUCCUACGGGAGGCAGCAGUGGGGAAUAUUGGACAAUGGGCGCAAGCCUGAUCCAGCCAUACCGCGUGAGUGAAGAAGGCCUUCGGGUUGUAAAGCCCUUUUGUUGGGAAAGAAAAGCAGCAGGUUAAUACCCCGCUGUUCUGACGGUACCCAAAGAAUAAGCACCGGCUAACUUCGUG
Molecule: ribosomal RNA, 492 nt
Filed under: uncultured bacterium
Lineage: Bacteria
Description: partial 16S ribosomal RNA
Rfam family: Bacterial small subunit ribosomal RNA
Source: RNAcentral